RNAcentral lists this ribosomal RNA (480 nucleotides) under Streptomyces coelicolor. Its description in RNAcentral is "bacterial SSU rRNA". It matches the Rfam family "Bacterial small subunit ribosomal RNA", at positions 179 to 671 of the family's 1533-position model. The record is from RNAcentral. Lineage: Bacteria; Bacillati; Actinomycetota; Actinomycetes; Kitasatosporales; Streptomycetaceae.
ACACAGGAAGGCAUCUUCUCUGUGUGGAAAGCUCCGGCGGUGCAGGAUGAGCCCGCGGCCUAUCAGCUUGUUGGUGGGGUGAUGGCCUACCAAGGCGACGACGGGUAGCCGGCCUGAGAGGGCGACCGGCCACACUGGGACUGAGACACGGCCCAGACUCCUACGGGAGGCAGCAGUGGGGAAUAUUGCACAAUGGGCGAAAGCCUGAUGCAGCGACGCCGCGUGAGGGAUGACGGCCUUCGGGUUGUAAACCUCUUUCAGCAGGGAAGAAGCGCAAGUGACGGUACCUGCAGAAGAAGCACCGGCUAACUACGUGCCAGCAGCCGCGGUAAUACGUAGGGUGCGAGCGUUGUCCGGAAUUAUUGGGCGUAAAGAGCUCGUAGGCGGCUUGUCACGUCGGAUGUGAAAGCCCGGGGCUUAACCCCGGGUCUGCAUUCGAUACGGGCAGGCUAGAGUUCGGUAGGGGAGAUCGGAAUUCCU